This 852-nucleotide long non-coding RNA is filed under the name Nicotiana tabacum (common tobacco). RNAcentral describes it as "long non-coding RNA (NTAB_LNC003406)". The record is from RNAcentral. Lineage: Eukaryota; Viridiplantae; Streptophyta; Magnoliopsida; Solanales; Solanaceae.
AUUUCAUGUUCCUAUUCUGCCUGCCAACAGAAAAAUUACCAUUACCAUCUCCAGGAAAGGAUUGCCCAUGUUCCAACCUUUCAUCCUUGCAACUUAAGUGGCAUGAACCACCAUCCUCAACAAAAUAUUGCCUUGAAAGUUGUGCAACAGCUCUGGAAGCUAGGCUUGCAUGUUCUGCAAACUCAGCCGCUGCUUGAGCAGCAGAGGUAGCAUCCUUAAAUUUCAUGUUCCAAUUCUGCCUGCCAACAGAAAAUUUACCAUUUCCACCUCCAGGAAAUGAUUGACCAUAUUCCAACCUCUCAUCCUUGAAACCUAAGUGGCAUGAACCACCAUCAUCAACACAAUAUUACCUUUAAUGUUCGACAACAACUCUGGCAGCUAGUCUUGCAUAUUCUGCAAAGUCAGCCGCUGCUUGAGCAGCAUAUGUAGCAUGCUUAAAUUUCAUGUUCCAAUUCUACCUGCCAACAGAACAAUUACCAUUACCAUCUCGAGGAAAUGAUUGCCCGUGUUCCAACCUUUCAUCCUUGAAACCUAAGUGGCAUGAACCACCAUCCUCAAUACAAUAUUACCUUGAAAGUUCGACAACAACUGAUGUUUGGCAUAUUUCGAUAUGUGUUGAUGUUACUUUACCCAUGUUUUAACCACUUCUUGAUGUUAUUUAAUCUUUAAAACUCCCAACAUGGUGUAAUUAUUGGUUUGAUGACUAACUAAGUUAUGUGUGACGAUUUAAGGUGUUCGGAGUGCAAAAUAUGAAGAAAAUGUGGUUUAGCCAGAGGAAGAAGGGUUGGAUGCGUCGCAUCUAACCUAGGAAAACAUCAUCCUGCGUGCAACCUUAGCAGUGAAGUUGGGCCA